UGGUCUUGACAUCCACAGAACUUUCCAGAGAUGGAUUGGUGCCUUCGGGAACUGUGAGACAGGUGCUGCAUGGCU
Molecule: ribosomal RNA, 75 nt
Filed under: uncultured Gammaproteobacteria bacterium
Lineage: Bacteria; Pseudomonadati; Pseudomonadota; Gammaproteobacteria
Description: partial 16S ribosomal RNA
Source: RNAcentral